CGCGACGACGUUGAUAGGCCGGGUGUGUAAGCGCAGCGAUGCGUUGAGCUAACCGGUACUAAUGAACCGUGAGGCUUAACCUU
This 83-nucleotide ribosomal RNA is filed under the name Salmonella enterica. RNAcentral's name for it is "partial 23S ribosomal RNA". It matches the Rfam family "Bacterial large subunit ribosomal RNA", at positions 2843 to 2925 of the family's 2925-position model. Lineage: Bacteria; Pseudomonadati; Pseudomonadota; Gammaproteobacteria; Enterobacterales; Enterobacteriaceae. The record is from RNAcentral.